GGCCCUGUGGCUUAGUUGGUUAAAGCGCCUGUCUAGUAAACAGGAGAUCCUGGGUUCAAAUCCCAGUGGGGCCU
This 74-nucleotide transfer RNA is filed under the name Otolemur garnettii (small-eared galago). RNAcentral's name for it is "tRNA-Thr (AGT) (tRNA-Thr-AGT-5-1)". It matches the Rfam family "tRNA". Rfam says of the family: Transfer RNA (tRNA) molecules are approximately 80 nucleotides in length. Their secondary structure includes four short double-helical elements and three loops (D, anti-codon, and T loops). Lineage: Eukaryota; Metazoa; Chordata; Mammalia; Primates; Galagidae. The record is from Rfam by way of RNAcentral.